Non-coding RNA from Arachis ipaensis, 969 nucleotides. Lineage: Eukaryota; Viridiplantae; Streptophyta; Magnoliopsida; Fabales; Fabaceae. The record is from RefSeq and is a predicted model, not a curated record.
AUAUGUGUGGCCAGCUGGUGAAGGUUAGGCUUCCUCUUAUUCUCCUUAACUUGUAUAUCUGUAGUUCAUUUUUUUUCAAGUAAUUGAACAUUUUGUUAAGGAUCUAUAGCUUAUGUGGUUUGUUCUGAUAGGUGGAGGUUCAAGUGAGGUAGUUGUAUUGGGUUAGCAGGGCCCUUCCAACUCUACCAAUUAAUCUCGAGGAUGCUGCUUGUAGUGAAGCUGAAAUUGAGAAGGCACUUCAGGCUGGUGAACAACUUGUUUUGUGUUAAUCAGGAUACACGUUUGAACUUUAGAAUACUUGACCUCAGAACCCGGCUAAUCAAGGAAUUUUCUCCAUUAGGUCUCAAGUUGAAAAUAUAAAGCAUUUCAUCUGAAUUUUCUUCUGAAGAGUUUACUUAUUUGUGUUCAUUCCUGAUUUGCAUGUUGUUCAUCAUGGUUGCUUUAAAUUUUAAAGUUACUGCAAUAAAUGUAUACUAAGACAUUUACAGAGUAUAUUUUCCCCAUGAUGCCAAGUUGAAUGGUCACAUUAUUUUUCAUUGCAUUGUUGGGUAGGCAUUCAGACAAUUCUUAUUAUUUGAACACUUUUGUCAAAUCCACCCUCAAAAAUUGAUUGCUGGGUCAAGUGAGAAUACCUUGCCCAAUCACCACAGCUUCACAAGCAUAUGGCAAUAUGUGCUGAUUUCGGCCGUGUUUUUGAGAUUCCUUCACACACAGACAUCUGUGUGAGUUUACUGGUCUUGAUGUUGAAACGGAGAUUAAGAAGCAUUAUCACGAGGUUAUGGAUAUAGUUGAUAGGUUGUUUGUCUCAAUAUUUGAUAGCUUGAACCAGAAUUGUAAGAGGGACCUUAAAGCUGUGGCACAAAGGUAAGCAUCUUCUAUUAAAAAAAAUGUAUUUUAUAUAUAUCAAACAUUCUUUUCUAGUCUAAAAAAUUUCUUUCUCCUUAAAAAAAAAAGAGUAAAUAUUGUUAA